Vitis riparia (riverbank grape) is the source of this 548-nucleotide long non-coding RNA. RefSeq lists it as uncharacterized. The transcript has 2 exons. The record is from RefSeq and is a predicted model, not a curated record. NCBI's taxonomy places the organism in Eukaryota, Viridiplantae, Streptophyta, Magnoliopsida, Vitales, Vitaceae.
AAAGAAAAAGAGGAAGGACUGUUGUUCUUGUGGGGUAUUGGGUGAGGUUUAUAUUUAUUAUGCCUGUUGUUAGUUUGACAGCAGGAUAUCUGUGGGGCUGACAUUUACUCGGUUCGUCUGUCCUCUACCUACCAAUUUGACAAAGGAAAACAGCAGUCUUAUCACUUGAAAUAGUAGUUGAUGUGCUACAUGCAAUUACAUUAUUGCAUGAUGGGUGGUGCUAAAGGUAAAGUGGCAGGAAGAACUGAAGAAGUAAUAAGUUCUGGUUAUUCUGCUGGUGAAAACAAUUAAGUUCUUUCAAUAUGUAUAGAUCUAAAUAGAAUAAUUCUGCAUUAUUGACCUGAAUUAAUUGUGUAGUUGGUCAUAUUGGAUUUGGAAUCAUGUCAGAGUCAGGCUUCACUGAGUAGUUCACAGUUAGGGUGAUUCAUUUGCAUCCUGAUAUGGAGCAAGCAUGGAUUAAAUCAACUAUGGUUGUGGAUGCAGAAGAUUUGGUGUCAUUUUGAAACUUGCAGAAAGAAGUUUAAGAAAUUUAAUAUUUUUCUGGGUUA